ACCAUGCAGUCGAACGGCAGCACAGGAGAGCUUGCUCUCUGGGUGGCGAGUGGCGGACGGGUGAGGAAUACAUCGGAAUCUACCUUUUCGUGGGGGAUAACGUAGGGAAACUUACGCUAAUACCGCAUACGACCUUCGGGUGAAAGCAGGGGACCUUCGGGCCUUGCGCGGAUAGAUGAGCCGAUGUCGGAUUAGCUAGUUGGCGGGGUAAAGGCCCACCAAGGCGACGAUCCGUAGCUGGUCUGAGAGGAUGAUCAGCCACACUGGAACUGAGACACGGUCCAGACUCCUACGGGAGGCAGCAGUGGGGAAUAUUGGACAAUGGGCGCAAGCCUGAUCCAGCCAUACCGCGUGGGUGAAGAAGGCCUUCGGGUUGUAAAGCCCUUUUGUUGGGAAAGAAAAGCAGCCGGUUAAUACCCGGUUGUUCUGACGGUACCCAAAGAAUAAGCACCGGCUAACUUCGUGCCAGCAGCCGCGGUAAUACGAAGGGUGCAAGCGUUACUCGGAAUUACUGGGCGUAAAGCGUGCGUAGGUGGUUGUUUAAGUCUGUUGUGAAAGCCCUGGGCUCAACCUGGGAAUUGCAGUGGAUACUGGGCGACUAGAGUGUGGUAGAGGGUAGUGGAAUUCCUGGUGUAGCAGUGAAAUGCGUAGAGAUCAGGAGGAACAUCCAUGGCGAAGGCAGCUACCUGGACCAACACUGACACUGAGGCACGAAAGCGUGGGGAGCAAACAGGAUUAGAUA
RNAcentral lists this ribosomal RNA (742 nucleotides) under Stenotrophomonas sp. Y191. RNAcentral describes it as "bacterial SSU rRNA". It matches the Rfam family "Bacterial small subunit ribosomal RNA", at positions 53 to 784 of the family's 1533-position model. Lineage: Bacteria; Pseudomonadati; Pseudomonadota; Gammaproteobacteria; Lysobacterales; Lysobacteraceae. The record is from RNAcentral.